Long non-coding RNA from Trifolium pratense (red clover), 550 nucleotides. RefSeq lists it as uncharacterized. The transcript has 2 exons. The record is from RefSeq and is a predicted model, not a curated record. Lineage: Eukaryota; Viridiplantae; Streptophyta; Magnoliopsida; Fabales; Fabaceae.
UAUUUAAUUGGGUUGAAGAAAGCUUGAGCUUUUUUUUUUGAAAGCAGAAAGCUUGAGCUUUAUACAAUAUAAAGUGAUAAAAUCCUUUUAUGCUUUUAUAAGCAAAUAGGGGAAGAUAUGGUUAAACUCAUGAUAUUUGUCUAUGUUAUGAUCCUUUUUAUUUUCUUAUUUCUUGUUGCAACUAAUGUUGACUCACUUGUUGAAUGUUAUAAAGAUUCCGAUUGUCCAAAAAAUAUGUGUUUGUCUCCUUGGACUGCGUGGUGUGUUAAUCAGAGAUGUGAAUGUGUUGCUACAUAUGGUCCAACAAAUACUAUAGAUCAAAGACACUACAUCGAUGCCCUAGAGGAAAGAUUGAUUUCUUCCACUAGAAAAAAAUCUAACAAAUAUCGUUUAUGAUAAGUUAUUCGAUGAUAAGUCAUUAUUGUGUUGGCAACGAAUUACCUGAAUUUGUUUGUUUUGAUUUUCUAAUUUCACAAACCUUACGGUUAUGACUUUGUACUCUAAAAUAAUGGUAAUAAAAUAGAAUAAAAGCUCUAAUAAUAUUACUUAA